This 406-nucleotide ribosomal RNA is filed under the name uncultured bacterium. Its description in RNAcentral is "partial 16S ribosomal RNA". It matches the Rfam family "Bacterial small subunit ribosomal RNA", at positions 30 to 526 of the family's 1533-position model. The record is from RNAcentral.
AUUGAACGCUGGCGGCAGGCUUAACACAUGCAAGUCGAGCGAGCGGCGGACGGGUGAGUAAUGUCUGGGAAACUGCCUGAUGGAGGGGGAUCACUACUGGAAACGGUAUCUAAUACCGCAUACCAUCAGAUGUGCCCAGAUGGGAUGAGCGAGUAGGUGGGGUAAUGGCUCCCCUAGGCGACGAUCCCUAGCUGGUCUGAGAGGAUGACCAGCCACACUGGAACUGAGCAACGGUCCAGACGCCUACGGGAGGCAGCAGUGGGGAAUAUUGGACAAUGGGCGAAAGCCGGAUGCAGCCAUGCCGAGUGUGUGAAGAAGGCCUUCGGGUUGUAAAGUACGUUCAGCGAGGAGGCGUUACUCGCAGAAGAAGCACCGGCUAACUCCGUGCCAGCAGCCGCGGUAAUUC